RNAcentral lists this transfer RNA (77 nucleotides) under Rhipicephalus microplus (southern cattle tick). RNAcentral describes it as "tRNA-Thr". It matches the Rfam family "tRNA". From Rfam's summary of the family: Transfer RNA (tRNA) molecules are approximately 80 nucleotides in length. Their secondary structure includes four short double-helical elements and three loops (D, anti-codon, and T loops). Further hydrogen bonds mediate the characteristic L-shaped molecular structure. tRNAs have two regions of fundamental functional importance: the anti-codon, which is responsible for specific mRNA codon recognition, and the 3' end, to which the tRNAs corresponding amino acid is attached (by aminoacyl-tRNA synthetases). tRNAs cope with the degeneracy of the genetic code in two manners: having more than one tRNA (with a specific anti-codon) for a particular amino acid; and 'wobble' base-pairing, i.e. permitting non-standard base-pairing at the 3rd anti-codon position. The record is from RNAcentral. Lineage: Eukaryota; Metazoa; Arthropoda; Arachnida; Ixodida; Ixodidae.
GGCUGCCGUGGCUUAGUUGGGUUUAAAGCGCCUGUCUAGUAAACAGGAGAUCGUGAGUUCGAAUCUCACCGGUGCCU